Molecule: unclassified non-coding RNA, 741 nt
Filed under: Arabidopsis thaliana (thale cress)
Lineage: Eukaryota; Viridiplantae; Streptophyta; Magnoliopsida; Brassicales; Brassicaceae
Description: 3' external transcribed spacer
Source: RNAcentral
CCCUCCCCUAAAUCACUCCAAAAAAAACAAUCCCCAAUUCUACACAAGUGUUUCUACACUAACAAAGCAACAGCUCCUUAACGAAUUCCCAACUUUACACGAGCUCGUCUCUCGAGGUUAAAUGUUAUUACUUGGUAAGAUUCCGGACCUCGCCAAGUGUUUUGAAAACCCGCAACGCUCGCAAAGGUGCAUAGUGAGAAUAAUAAGUGAAGAGACAGACUUGUCCAAAACGCCCACCACGAAGGUGCAUAGUGAGAAGAGUAAGUCAAGAGAUAGACUUGUCCAAAAAGAAACGGAAGAGAAAGCUUGGGGAGACGCUCACGAAGGUGCAUAGUGAGAAGAGUAAGUCAAGAGAUAGACUUGUUCAAAAAGAAACAGAAGAGAAUGCUUGGGGUUACACUCACGAAGGUGCAUAGUGAGAAGAGUAAGUCAAGAGAUAGACUUGUUCAAAAAGAAACAGAAGAGAAUGCUUGGGGUUACACUCACGAAGGUGCAUAGUGAGAAGAGUAAGUCAAGAGACAGACUUGUUCAAAAAGAAACAAAAGAGAAUGCUUGGGGAGAUAGAAGUGUGAGAUAGUUCUCAAGCUAAGAAAGUUGUAAAAGCUAAGAACUAGCAAGUAAUCGUCCAGGAUUCCUCCACCAGGACUUGAAAUCGUCGAGGGAAAAAAUCGGUUCCGAGGAAUCGUCGAUCCGGACUUGGAAUCGUCGAGAAAAGUUUACCGGGUCCGAGGAUUUGUCGAC